Molecule: long non-coding RNA, 385 nt
Filed under: Trifolium pratense (red clover)
Lineage: Eukaryota; Viridiplantae; Streptophyta; Magnoliopsida; Fabales; Fabaceae
Description: long non-coding RNA (TPRA_LNC011804)
Source: RNAcentral
AUGUAAAGGAGGAAUUUUGACAUGUCUCUUUGUAUGUCUAUGUAGAAAGACAGUUUCUGUUUGAUUAAUUGUUGUCUAUUGAAUAUAGAUGUCUUGAUCAUAUGUGUCACAAUAUUUGUUUAGACAUUUUUACAUGUAAUUAGCUAGUUUUUUUUUAAAAACAAAAAGUGUAGCACUUGUCCCCGUUGGUGUAAACUCUGAACUUGUAAAUUAUUGUUUGGGAAUAGUGUCAUUAAUAAAAUGCAACUUUUUUUUUUCAAGCAAGUUUAAACAAUAGGGCAUAUGCUUGUAGGUAUAUUUAGAUUGAGUAAUUUGAGUUUUUACUCACAUAAGUUUUAUAAGACUGUUUGGGAUAACUUAAGAAAAUAGCUUAUGACAAUUUUCA